This 76-nucleotide transfer RNA is filed under the name Sphingobacteriales bacterium CHB3. Its description in RNAcentral is "tRNA-Arg". It matches the Rfam family "tRNA". Rfam says of the family: Transfer RNA (tRNA) molecules are approximately 80 nucleotides in length. Lineage: Bacteria; Pseudomonadati; Bacteroidota; Sphingobacteriia; Sphingobacteriales. The record is from RNAcentral.
GCCCUCGUAGCUCAGUGGAUAGAGCAGCGGUUUCCUAAACCGUUGGCCGGCAGUUCGACUCUGCCCGAGGGCACCA